This 135-nucleotide small nucleolar RNA is filed under the name Moschus moschiferus (Siberian musk deer). RNAcentral's name for it is "Small nucleolar RNA SNORA70 (ENSMMSG00000002158.1)". It matches the Rfam family "Small nucleolar RNA SNORA70". Rfam says of the family: snoRNA U70 seems to be exclusive to mammals and is a member of the H/ACA class of snoRNA which contain H (ANANNA) and ACA box motifs. H/ACA box snoRNAs are involved in the conversion of uridines to pseudouridines (5-ribosyluracil) a constituent of structural RNAs (transfer, ribosomal, small nuclear, and small nucleolar). The record is from Rfam by way of RNAcentral. Lineage: Eukaryota; Metazoa; Chordata; Mammalia; Artiodactyla; Moschidae.
UUGCAGCCAAUUAAGUCAACUGUGUUCUUUUCCCCAUGGAGGCCUGGUGUGCAAUGGCUGCAAACAGCAGCCUCUUCUGGAGUGUAUGCAGCCUGUUGCCUGUAGGCAUUACCUUAAGGAACCCUGGAGACAGCC